RNAcentral lists this ribosomal RNA (501 nucleotides) under uncultured bacterium. RNAcentral describes it as "bacterial SSU rRNA". It matches the Rfam family "Bacterial small subunit ribosomal RNA", at positions 9 to 507 of the family's 1533-position model. The record is from RNAcentral.
GAGUUUGAUCCUGGCUCAGAUUGAACGCUGGCGGAAUGCUUUACACAUGCAAGUCGAACGGCAGCACGGGGCAACCUGGUGGCGAGUGGCGAACGGGUGAGUAAUACAUCGGAACGUGCCCAAUCGUGGGGGAUAACGUAGCGAAAGUUACGCUAAUACCGCAUACGAUCUACGGAUGAAAGCGGGGGAUCGCAAGACCUCGCGCGAGUGGAGCGGCCGAUGUCAGAUUAGGUAGUUGGUGGGGUAAAGGCUCACCAAGCCAACGAUCUGUAGCUGGUCUGAGAGGACGACCAGCCACACUGGAACUGAGACACGGUCCAGACUCCUACGGGAGGCAGCAGUGGGGAAUUUUGGACAAUGGGCGCAAGCCUGAUCCAGCCAUUCCGCGUGCAGGAUGAAGGCCUUCGGGUUGUAAACUGCUUUUGUACGGAACGAAACGGCGAGCUCUAAUACAGUUUGCUAAUGACGGUACCGUAAGAAUAAGCACCGGCUAACUACGUG